UAUGGCCAAACCACCCUGAAAACUGAUCUUGCCAUAUCCUGAAAGCUAAGCAAAAUAGGGUCUGGUUAGCAAUUGGAUGGGAGACCAAGUAAAAUAAAUUAGGUCAAGGCUAGGC
This 115-nucleotide ribosomal RNA is filed under the name Erinaceus europaeus (western European hedgehog). The record is from RNAcentral. Lineage: Eukaryota; Metazoa; Chordata; Mammalia; Eulipotyphla; Erinaceidae.